UUCCAGCCGCGGUGGCUCAGUCGUCUAAGGCAACUGGAAUUCCCUACGAAAUCAGUGCGCGAGUUCGAGUUCGAGUCUCCGCCCAUGCUUGUUGGCUUCUUCCGACGAUCACCCACGUUAUUUAGCCGUUAACUCCUUGGGCUACAUUAAUUUUUUUUGUC
Molecule: small nucleolar RNA, 161 nt
Organism: Drosophila melanogaster (fruit fly)
Lineage: Eukaryota; Metazoa; Arthropoda; Insecta; Diptera; Drosophilidae
Source: Ensembl